Molecule: ribosomal RNA, 473 nt
Filed under: uncultured bacterium
Lineage: Bacteria
Description: SSU rRNA
Rfam family: Bacterial small subunit ribosomal RNA
Source: RNAcentral
AGGACGAACGCUGGCGGCGUGCUUAACACAUGCAAGUCGAGCGGAAAGGCCCUUCGGGGUACUCGAGCGGCGAACGGGUGAGUAACACGUGAGUAACCUGCCCCUAGCUCUGGGAUAGCUCCGGGAAACCGGGAUUAAUACCAGAUACGACCACUUUAGACAUCUGUCGUGGUGGAAAGGAUUCCGGCUAGGGAUGGGCUCGCGGCCUAUCAGCUUGUUGGUGGGGUAACGGCCUACCAAGGCGACGACGGGUAGCCGGCCUGAGAGGGCGACCGGCCACACUGGGACUGAGACACGGCCCAGACUCCUACGGGAGGCAGCAGUGGGGAUAUUGCGCAAUGGGCGAAAGCCUGACGCAGCGACGCCGCGUGGGGAUGAAGGCCUUCGGGUUGUAAACCCCUUUCAGCAGGGACGAAGCGAAAGUGACGGUACUGCAGAAGAAGCGCCGGCUAACUACGCGCCAGCAGCCGCGA